GAUGAACGCUAGCGGCAGGCUUAAUACAUGCAAGUCAAGGGGGUAGCAAUACAACCGGCGCACGGGUGAGUAACGCGUACACAACAUACCAUAUACUGGAGUAUAGCUUUGGGAAACUGAAGGUAAUCCUCCAUAACAUUGCGAGAGGGCAUCUGAUUGCAAUUAAAGUUUCGGCGGUAUAUGAUUGGUGUGCGUUUGAUUAGCUAGUUGGUAGGGUAACGGCCUACCAAGGCGACGAUCAAUAGCUGGCGUGAGAGCGCGACCAGCCACACUGGAACUGAGACACGGUCCAGACUCCUACGGGAGGCAGCAGUAGGGAAUAUUGGACAAUGGAGGAAACUCUGAUCCAGCCAUGCCGCGUGAUAGAUGAAGGCCCUCUGGGUUGUAAAUAUCUUUUACCUGGGAAGAAACACUCCUAUUCUUAGGAACUUGACGGUACCAGAGGAAUAAGCACCGGCUAACUCCGUGCCAGCAGCCGCGGUAAAGU
RNAcentral lists this ribosomal RNA (487 nucleotides) under uncultured bacterium. RNAcentral describes it as "bacterial SSU rRNA". It matches the Rfam family "Bacterial small subunit ribosomal RNA", at positions 28 to 526 of the family's 1533-position model. The record is from RNAcentral.